UCUCGGGUGACGAGCGGCGGACGGGUGAGUAAUGUCUGGGAAACUGCCUGAUGGAGGGGGAUAACUACUGGAAACGGUAGCUAAUACCGCAUAACGUCUUCGGACCAAAGUGGGGGACCUUCGGGCCUCAUGCCAUCAGAUGUGCCCAGAUGGGAUUAGCUAGUAGGUGGGGUAAUGGCUCACCUAGGCGACGAUCCCUAGCUGGUCUGAGAGGAUGACCAGCCACACUGGAACUGAGACACGGUCCAGACUCCUACGGGAGGCAGCAGUGGGGAAUAUUGCACAAUGGGCGCAAGCCUGAUGCAGCCAUGCCGCGUGUAUGAAGAAGGCCUUCGGGUUGUAAAGUACUUUCAGCGAGGAGGAAGGCAUUAAGGUUAAUAACCUUGGUGAUUGACGUUACUCGCAGAAGAAGCACCGGCUAACUCCGUGCCAGCAGCCGCGGUAAUACGGAGGGUGCAAGCGUUAAUCGGAAUUACUGGGCGUAAAGCGCACGCAGGCGGUCUGUCAAGUCGGAUGUGAAAUCCCCGGGCUCAACCUGGGAACUGCAUUCGAAACUGGCAGGCUAGAGUCUUGUAGAGGGGGGUAGAAUUCCAGGU
This 596-nucleotide ribosomal RNA is filed under the name Enterobacter sp. R43. RNAcentral describes it as "bacterial SSU rRNA". It matches the Rfam family "Bacterial small subunit ribosomal RNA", at positions 82 to 674 of the family's 1533-position model. The record is from RNAcentral. Lineage: Bacteria; Pseudomonadati; Pseudomonadota; Gammaproteobacteria; Enterobacterales; Enterobacteriaceae.